ACAGCAGCAGCCGCGUUAAUACAGAGGGUGCGAGCGUUAAUCGGAUUUACUGGGCGUAAAGCGUGCGUAGGCGGCUUCUUAAGUCGGAUGUGAAAUCCCUGAGCUUAACUUAGGAAUUGCAUUCGAUACUGGGAAGCUAGAGUAUGGGAGAGGAUGGUAGAAUUCCAGGUGUAGCGGUGAAAUGCGUAGAGAUCUGGAGGAAUACCGAUGGCGAAGGCAGCCAUCUGGCCUAAUACUGACGCUGAGGUACGAAAGCAUGGGGAGCAAACAGGAUUAGAUACCCCAGUAGUCCCUGUCUCUUAUAC
RNAcentral lists this ribosomal RNA (305 nucleotides) under uncultured bacterium. RNAcentral's name for it is "partial 16S ribosomal RNA". It matches the Rfam family "Bacterial small subunit ribosomal RNA", at positions 505 to 807 of the family's 1533-position model. The record is from RNAcentral.